This 464-nucleotide ribosomal RNA is filed under the name uncultured bacterium. Its description in RNAcentral is "partial 16S ribosomal RNA". It matches the Rfam family "Bacterial small subunit ribosomal RNA", at positions 339 to 795 of the family's 1533-position model. The record is from RNAcentral.
CUACGGGCUGCUGCAGUGGGGAAUAUUGCACAAUGGGCGCAAGCCUGAUGCAGCCAUGCCGCGUGUAUGAAGAAGGCCUUCGGGUUGUAAAGUACUUUCAGCGGGGAGGAAGGGAGUAAAGUUAAUACCUUUGCUCAUUGACGUUACCCGCAGAAGAAGCACCGGCUAACUCCGUGCCAGCAGCCGCGGUAAUACGGCGGGUGCAAGCGUUAAUCGGAAUUACUGGGCGUAAAGCGCACGCAGGCGGUUUGUUAAGUCAGAUGUGAAAUCCCCGGGCUCAACCUGGGAACUGCAUCUGAUACAGGCAAGCUUGAGUCUCGUAGAGGGGGGUAGAAUUCCAGGUGUAGCGGUGAAAUGCGUAGAGAUCUGGAGGAAUACCGGUGGCGAAGGCGGCCCCCUGGACGAAGACUGACGCUCAGGUGCGAAAGCGUGGGGAGCAAACAGGAUUAGAUACCCCUGUAGUC